UGGGGAAUUUUGGACAAUGGGCGAAAGCCUGAUCCAGCAAUGCCGCGUGUGUGAAGAAGGCCUUCGGGUUGUAAAGCACUUUUGUCCGGAAAGAAAUCCUUGGCUCUAAUACAGUCGGGGGAUGACGGUACCGGAAGAAUAAGCACCGGCUAACUACGUGCCAGCAGCCGCGGUAAUACGUAGGGUGCAAGCGUUAAUCGGAAUUACUGGGCGUAAAGCGUGCGCAGGCGGUUUGCUAAGACCGAUGUGAAAUCCCCGGGUCUCAACCUGGGAACUGCAUUGGUGACUGGCAGGCUAGAGUAUGGCAGAGGGGGGUAGAAUUCCACGUGUAGCAGUGAAAUGCGUAGAGAUGUGGAGGAAUACCGAUGGCGAAGGCAGCCCCCUGGGCCAAUACUGACGCUCAUGCACGAAAGCGUGGGGAGCAAACAGGAUUAGAUACCCUGGUAGUCCAGCGCCCUAAACGAUGUCAACUAGUUGUUGGGGAUUCAUUUCCUAGUAACGUAGCUAACGCGUGAAGUUGACCGCCUGGGGAGUACGGUCGCAAGAUUAAAACU
RNAcentral lists this ribosomal RNA (554 nucleotides) under uncultured bacterium. RNAcentral's name for it is "partial 16S ribosomal RNA". It matches the Rfam family "Bacterial small subunit ribosomal RNA", at positions 355 to 901 of the family's 1533-position model. The record is from RNAcentral.